Molecule: long non-coding RNA, 6885 nt
Organism: Gallus gallus (chicken)
Lineage: Eukaryota; Metazoa; Chordata; Aves; Galliformes; Phasianidae
Source: Ensembl
CUUUUCUUUGCAGCCCUCCUGGAGUUUGGAAUUAAUACUGAGCUAGCAAACAACAGAUUUCUCUCCUGCAGACAAUGAUUUUGCAGCCUAUCUGGAUCAGGCCUGGGGUCUUCCAGGAGCACAGUCAUGUCUCCAGCACACGACCGAAUGAAAGAGAGAACAAGGAAAAAGAGAGGAAAAUGAACUUGGACACAAAACUCAGCACAUACCUCCAGGUCCUGGACCUCUUGAUAUAGCUUAGUCGUCUCCAGCUGUUCUGUGCUGCAUUACAGGAGUUGGAUAAGAUUCUUUCUCCACCUCUGGUCUCUCUCAUAAGUUUACAUUGGGCCUUUAAGAAUUCACUUCAUCACUACUGGCCAUAGCGCAACUGUACUUUAACUUUCAGCUUUUACCGACAUCCUCUGCUUAGCCAACAGAGAGCAAGGCUGAAGAAUAUUCCCUGACAGGUUCCCAUUUCCCAUGCCAAUUAAAUAAAUUGGCCUUUUCUAUGCUAUGGUGACAGCAGAAUGCAGACCACAAGAGUAGGAGAGGUGUUUGAAUUUUAUUUUUACCAGCCAUCCCCAUGAUAAUAAAUCCUACCAGAAGUUACAUCUUUGUUAACUCCCAGAUGUUUUGGAGUAAAUGAGCUGUUUCUCCUAACCAUUUGAAGGCAUUAGGGAUCUCAUCACCAAUUUUUGAUAUCUUGAGACAUAUACUAGGGACGUGAGAUGAGCAGCCUAAUUCCCAGGCUGCUGAAAUCCAUCUCACUUACUCUUUUGGUUAGAUCUCUUCUGAUUGUGUCAGGCCUAAGUUUUGACUUAAGUGACUAAAGAGUAAAUACUUUUGAAUGUACAUAGAUAUCUAAAUCAUUUGACUUCUCCUAAGGUAUCCAAAGCAACUGUAUAGGGCUACUUGAUUUAUAGAGUACCAUACCCUUCUGUAUCAACAUCUGGAAGCCAGAAAGUACAAUUCAAAGCAUCUCAAUGUCUUUAUGUAUCUGCAGGCAUGCUAUUAAACUGAGCAUCUUGUUUACAUAUAGACAUAUGUAUAGACAUAUACGUGUACAUGCAUAAAUUUGGAUGUGACAGGUUAACUGUGCAAUACAAUACUUUGUUUCAUGUGUAGGUUACUAUGAAAGUAAUGCCUCCUAUUAAUUUCCAUGGAAAUGACAAUAGCUACAAUGAGCACAAUAACACUAUUUGAUAGAGCAAAUUCUCAGCCCAAUACACUAUUUUUUAACACUGUUGCCACCAUUAGCAAUGCAUUUUCACCAACAGUGAACAAGAGCCCUCAUGACAUGCCUGUAAAAUUUGCAUGAUUUUCUGGAAUCUGGCUUGCCUUUCAUGUCAUGUUUACUACUGCUGAAACACACCACCCACCAACGCACUGUGCUCACAUCCACUAUUUGAUCUCCAUAAAUGUUCACAAGCACUGAUGAAUGUCAAUGGGUUUGAUCUUGGAGGACAUGGAGGAAGGGAGGAAUUCAAUUCCACACCUUUGCUUCAUACAGGCUUCCAUAUGAGAUGCUAUUGUAUCAGACUGUCCCUCUGCUGCCACCUGUUGUACGGCAACAAAAUGUAAUGGAAUAUUGGUGGUAGAUUCAACCUCUACUGCCAUACCACCAGCAUCCACCUCUGAUGUUGUGGACCAACAUAGCAUUAUAGAAUCACUAAGGUUGGAAAAGACCUCCAAGAUCAGACAUAACAAAACAUAACAAAAUAGUAGGCAUUAUUUUUGGUGCAUCCCAUGUAGUUCAAGGCAGCUUAGGAAAUUUUCAUAUUUUUUACUAAUCCUAAUGCUCACCACCACACUCUGUGCUGCUUAUCUUCUUGAACCAGCUGAACUAGUUAGUUUAAAAUCUGCCUCAUUAAAAACCCUGCAGUAAAAGAAAAGGCAAUAUUUUCUUUCUAUUCUUAGAGACAUUUUUUAAUGGCUGCUACUGCAAUUGUUAAAACUUAAUAUUCCAUGAAGAUUUUUAGUGGUAGUAACUCGUGAGCUAGAAUUCACACAGAAGAAGGUUAAAACAGAUUCAAAUCAUAUCAAACAUGUGAAAGUAUUUAGUUUCAAUUAAAUUAAUAAAACUCUAGUUUCUGAUCUCCUUCUCUCCCAAAUUCACAGGUAUUUUUAUAACAUGUAGGCACUUUUCUCACUCUUUCUUUCAUUGUCUAUCUUCAAUAAAUUAUUUACUUACCAUUAAGAAACUGUCAGUCUGUAAAAACAAAACAAGUUGAAAAUUAGAGAAAUUGGUAAAAUCUUAGUUCUUUUCCCCUCUCCCCCCCCCCCCCCCCACAUAUGGUUUACAACAGCUUUGUUAAAAGAUAAUAUUUUUUGUUGAGAGGUGCCUAGAAUGACUCAUGAAGUAGUCAUCAGUGGUAAUUAUAAUCUGGCAUUUAUUUAGUGAGCUCUUAUUUUCCUAAUCUUCCACGGAAGCUUCUUUAGUCAAGGUCAAAUUCUUUCAGUGUUUUCAUCUACAAGGAGCACGGACAAUUUGCCUUCCCUCUCCUCCAAGUGUUCAAAGACAAUUGGUUUUGUCACUUUCCUAAGCAACCUUCUGAAAUGUGUGGGAAAGGAAACAACCACAAAGAACAUAACUUUUACAUUCAGAGGAGAACAACAUGUCAAAAUUCCUUAAACCAUGAUAAAUGUACCAAAAUCAUCCAGCUCUUUCCAAAUAGCAAUGAGUGAUAGUGAUUUAUGACUGUGGAGAUUUUUCUUAAGCUACUAGUUUCUCUAGAAGAAAGAAAGGUCACUGUAAGUUAGGGUGUACAUAGCUUAUCUUGUUCUUUGCAGCCUGCCAUUCCCUUUGAACUAGUCCAUGUCAGACUGUAGACCUGUGCUAGAGUACUACCAUUAAUAAUCAUCAUUAUUGUCAUAAAAAUAAGGAAGAAAGGAGCACAUAUGCGCACUCAAAUACUUAACAAGCAUUGUGUUUAUGAACCUCUUGACAUCACCACAUAAGUAAGUCCAAUAGUUCGUAGAAGGAAAAAGCAAAUCCUAACAGGAAAAAGAAAUAGCUGAUUGCUACGUAGGGAAACAAAAACUGGAUCAAAGAAGGUGAAUGGAAAAAAUUCAGCAAUCUGCACUGUGUUAAAGAGACUGGUCAAUUAUUUACAGGUAACAACAGUCCAAUCCAACAAAUGAUGACAGAAGCUACUGUAUGGGUAGGAAAGUGGAAAUUUUUUUCUCCAGCAAUUCCUGUUUCUUUGCUAUAAUAUCACAGUAAAACUCACUUUUCCAUUGCUCUCCUUAGAGAUUGCCUACCUCCAAUAAGCAAUAGGAUGAAAAGACUUGGCAUGGGCUGAGACUUUGUUUCAUGAAUAUAUCUGAUAGAGACAAUGCAGAAAUCCUGAAGCCUUUGUAAAUUUACUUGUGCAAAAAUUACAUGUAUAUCAUCCUCAUACCAUGGGUCUGUCCAGCCUAUCAUUUUGGCUUUGGUGAGACAAUACUCAGAUAAGAUGAAUUACCAGAAAACAUGCAGUGAGGCUUCCCCAUAAAACUGACUUUCCAGUAAUUUGUAACAUCCUAAGUAAGAAACAAUCUCAAAUGGAGGCUUCAAUGAGAAUUUAAUGCAAUCUUCUUUCCUGCCUUUCUGCUGUCUAAUGGAAAGGAAUUCCUGCCUCAAAUGGUGUUUAGAAGAGAUGUAUGACUGAGGAAAGACUUAAUCUAUGUCUUCACUUUCUAAGAGUGACUCUUAGAAAUCGAGAAUGAUAUAGCUAAGACCUGAAUCUCAUUACACAAUAACAGAAUAACUAUAGCUUGACUUUAUUUGGAAAUGGUCAGUAGAGGGAUGAUUAAUGUUUCUCAGGGUAAUGUCUCCCAGGGACAAGUCACAUUUCUCGGAGGUUGGUAUUGGGAUCAGUACUAUUUAACAACUUUGUUGUCAACGUGGACAGUGGGAUUAAGUGCACCCUCAGCAAGUUUGCAACUGUCUCCAAGCUGAGUGUUUUGGUCAACACUCUGGAAAGAAGGGAUGCAAUCCAUAGGGACCUUGACCUAUGAAGAAAGGUUGAGAGAGUUGAGGUUUUUCAACUUGGAGAAGAGAAGACUUCAGGUAGAACUUGUACCAGCCUUCCUUCACAUAAACGGGAACUACAGGAAAGCUGGAGAGGGACUCUUUUUCAGACAGUGCAGUAACAGGACAAAGGCUAGUGGUUUUAAGUGGAAAGAGGGAAGAUUUAAAUUAGACAUUAGGAAGAAUUCUUAACUCAGAGUGUGAUGAGGUGCUGGCACAGGCUGCUCAGAGAAUCUGUGGAUGCCCCAACCCUGGAGCUGUUCAAGGCCAGAUUGGAUGGUUCCUCAAAAGGAACCUGACCUAUGGGAGGAGUCUCAUCUCAGAACAGAGAGCUCAUCUUUAAGGUCUCUUCCAACACUAACCAUUCUAAGUUACUAUUUUUCUAUGUUUUUAUGAAAUUCACUUUCUGUAGCACAUAGUACAGGAUGCUGAUGAUUAAAAUAGUUCAAGGAAAGAGAAAAGUAUGGCAGGAGGCUGAAAACUAGGCAGCACUGUCCAGUGCAUUGAUUUUGGCUAAAGAAAUGUGCGGGGCAAACUCCUUAGAAAAAGUGUCACUGUAUGAAUUUGGAUUCAUGAAAACAAAGCAGAUGACUAGCAAGAAAACAAAAAUAGUUCCCAAAUUUUGAAUUAAACCUAAAUUAAAUUUGAAAUAAACCUAAAAAACUUAGUAUAACUUCUACUGGCCUAAACUUUGUUACUGUCUUUUAGCUCUGAAGCUCAUUUAAGAAUGAAGAUCAUGCAAACCUUAUUAAGAUAUCACACUGAAUGAAUCCAAAGUUUACUUGAAGACUUUUGAAACAAAUUUCAUUUCUUUGCCUAUGGAUGCUUGUUUUGUUGUAGAUUGGCUUUGAUUUUAAGCAAGGCUUAAACUCUGACUGAAGCUUUUCUUGUGCUUGGGGCACCUUUACAAGGCUCUGCCCCAUGUAUAUUCCCUGGUAUAUUCCAAGAUUUAUGCUUAUGUUUAUUUUCCCUAUAACCGUGGUGUCUGUAAGACAUCUCACACAUUCAGCCUCCUAUUUGCAUGAAGUUUAAUUAUCUAUGAGGCUUCAGGCUCUUCUGUCGUUCUGGUUAAUGAGCUCAGAAGUUAUUGGCAGUGCAAUGUAUAGACAUACACAAGGUUACUAACACCACCUAAGUUUCAUUUCAGUGGGAAAGCAGCUUAAAAACAGAACAGUUAACUAGAAAACAGAUGGAUGGAUCAUUUACUGUGAGAAAGGCAUGAAGGUCAGAUUUGAACAGAUCGGUUUAAAGGGAUGAUUUCAAAGAGAAAGAGAGCACUUGAGAGCAGAGUUUGAAGCAAAAUAUUUUGUACUCUGCUGUCAGCAGAAAGCAUGAGAUAAUAGAUAUGAAACAGGGAGUGAAAAUGGAGGAAAGGGAUGAGAUAUGGGAGUCCUGAAGGCACCUGAGCAGAAGAAACAUGAUAGUGCAAAUGGAGAUAUGGUGCAUCUGACUGCCUCAGGAGAUGCACUAACUGUAGGAACAUAUUCUUUACAUCAGGAGCUGGUGGGCUGACCCCCAACAGAGCACUGUGGGUUUGGAUCAGCAGGUGGGUGAGCAGAAGACACAAAGAGGGACCUAUCUGUUCUUAAACAGCAGAGCUGACUGAUACCUACACAACUCCUUUUAUGAGGAGGACUAAAAUAGACAGGACUCAGAGAUUUCUUUUUUGUUGUUGUUGUAAGAUUUUGGAUUUUCCCAGGGAAAUUAUUAUUUUUUUUUCCUAUGAAUAAUGCUUUCCUAAUUAUUUUCUUUUCAAACCUUUGGUAGAGAAAACAACAAACAAGCAAAACCCAACAUGUAUUUAUCAUUUUCAUUUCCAGUGUAUCAGAAAAUCUGUGACACAGAAGCAGAUUUUCCCAAUCUUUUCUCUGCUAUGAACAAUUAUUGUGAAUUCCAAAGCAUAUUUGGGGAUGACACCCACCCAAACUCAUCCGACCUUUCUUUAUGAGAAUUCUGGCUACUCAAGUAUGUAGAUUACUCAAAAAAUAAUGUUUCCCAUUUAUUUCUAUGGAAUCUACACAAGAUACGCAAUAACACUAUCUGAUAGAGCAAAUUCUCAGAUACAAAACACUUUUUCAAUGUAGUGACCUCCAUCUUGUAUGUAUGUAUCUUGUAUGUAUGCCACUGAUGAGCAAGAGCUUACAUGCCACGCUCAUAAAAAUCUGCACCAGAGGAGGGCACCCAUUGUUUCACAGCUUCUGUGAUGACAUUGUUACUAGGAAAAUGUUGUCCACACAGUCCAUCUUUCAUUGGCAUGAACAGAUGGAAAUCAAAAGAUGCCAAAUCUGGACCAUGUGGUGGCGUGGUUGGAUGGUCCAGCCAAGACUGGCAGUGUGCUCCAGGGUCUUCCAUCUGAUAUGGGUCCUGAUGUCAUUGUGUUGCAGGAUAAGGAUUGUCUGCUUCUCUGGCCUAACUCUAGAUGUGUGAGCCUUCAGCUAAGGCAACAUCAUGACAUAGUGGUCAGAACUGAUGGUUUGUCCAAGUUCCAGGAAAUCCAGAAGGAUCACCAUUUUCUAUCUCAAAAGACAGUGCACAUCACUUUACCCACUGAGGGCUGUCUUGAACUUUUUAUUUGAUGGGGAAUUCACAUGUUGCCACACAUGGACUGCCAUUUUGACUCUGGCUAGUAGUGGUGACAUCAUGUCUUAUCACCAGUACUGAUGUGAUUUAGGAAACUGUCACCUUCAGCAUCAUAUUAUUUGAAUAGAUCCUGGCAAACUUGCAUAUGGUGUUCUUUCUGUUCUUAUGUGAACAUUCAUGGGACCCACCCGGCACAAGCUUUGCAAUACUCUUAAUGUUGUCACUAGUGUUUCCAACUCAGUGAGGCUGAUAUUCAUCUUUGUACAAAACCCUCAACAUAAUAAUAAUAAUAAUAAUAAUAAUAAUAAUAAUAA